AUCACUUCUCGGCAUUUUGGCUAAGAUCAAAGUGUAAUCUGUCUGUCUGUUCUUUUAACCUUAAUAUCUAGAAGUUCCCUCACUGAGGGACCAAUGUAUUAAACUGUUUUUUGUAAGCUGACGGGAUAGUCAAGGCUCGUUCCACCCCCGUCACGGAUCAGCACAGCAUUGCAGUGCCGCCGAAAACGGGUCGCAUAAU
Molecule: small nuclear RNA, 199 nt
Organism: Trichoplusia ni (cabbage looper)
Lineage: Eukaryota; Metazoa; Arthropoda; Insecta; Lepidoptera; Noctuidae
Product: U2 spliceosomal RNA
Exons: 1
Source: RefSeq, a predicted model, not a curated record